Molecule: ribosomal RNA, 253 nt
Filed under: uncultured bacterium
Lineage: Bacteria
Description: partial 16S ribosomal RNA
Rfam family: Bacterial small subunit ribosomal RNA
Source: RNAcentral
UACGUAGGGGGCGAGCGUUGUCCGGAGUUACUGGGCGUAAAGCGCACGCAGGCGGUCUGUUAAGUUGGGAGUGACAGUUGGUGGCUUAACUGCCAAAGUGCUUCGAAAACUGACAGACUUGAGGGCUUCAGAGGGACACGGAAUUCCGGGUGGAGUGGUGAAAUGCGUAGAGAUCCGGAGGAACACCAAAGGCGAAGGCAGUGUCCUGGGGAGUACCUGACGCUCAGGUGCGAAAGCCAGGGGAGCGAACGGG